Pantherophis guttatus is the source of this 522-nucleotide long non-coding RNA. RefSeq lists it as uncharacterized. The record is from RefSeq and is a predicted model, not a curated record. NCBI's taxonomy places the organism in Eukaryota, Metazoa, Chordata, Lepidosauria, Squamata, Colubridae.
UUGGCGGCAUUUGUUGGAAGGUAUUAAUAAGAAGUUCGAGGUCUGGACGGACCAUAAGAACUUGGAAACCCUUCAAACCCCUAGGAAACUGUCACCAAAACAGGUGGACUCCUGGUAGGGGGAGCUGCCUGUUGAGACCCCACGUUCGACAAUCUGAAGAUAGAAACCCAUACACCUGCGGGAGCGCUACAGGGGAGCCGUGGGAGGUGGUGGUUGGCACUGAUACGUUCCUGGACACAUAUAUGGUGGAGGGGGGUGAUAGAGCGAGUAUGCGGACGGUCACCUUGCGGACGCGAUAGGGUUUGCUCGGUAGCUGCUGCACACUGACGCUCCUGAUUGCUGGGGCGGAACGGGUGAUGUGUGGAGCCGAAAACCCGGAAAUAUGAACUGAUUAGAGCGCUUAUUUAAACAGCGUUGGGCUGCGGUGAUGCCCAACGCCGACUUUGUGUUAUCGUUAUCUGAACUCAGCAAUGUCCGCAGCAGCUAUGGAUGAUGAAUAAACCUUUUCCCUGCUUCAACGCA